This 1017-nucleotide ribosomal RNA is filed under the name Enterococcus faecium. RNAcentral's name for it is "partial 23S ribosomal RNA". It matches the Rfam family "Bacterial large subunit ribosomal RNA", at positions 37 to 1055 of the family's 2925-position model. Lineage: Bacteria; Bacillati; Bacillota; Bacilli; Lactobacillales; Enterococcaceae. The record is from RNAcentral.
CACUAGGAGCCGAUGAAGGACGGGACUAACACCGAUAUGCUUUGGGGAGCUGUACGUAAGCUAUGAUCCAGAGAUUUCCGAAUGGGGGAACCCAGCAUCUUUAAUAGGAUGUUACGAUUGUGUGAAUACAUAGCACAUUCGAGGUAGACGCAGAGAACUGAAACAUCUAAGUACCUGCAGGAAGAGAAAGAAAAUUCGAUUCCCUGAGUAGCGGCGAGCGAAACGGGAAAAGCCCAAACCAACAAGCUUGCUUGUUGGGGUUGUAGGACUCCAAUAUGGUCGUUCUUUCAGAUAGUCGAAUGACUUGGAAAAGUCAGUCAAAGAGGGUAAAAACCCCGUAGACGAAAUGUGGAAGACACCUAGGAGGAUCCUGAGUACGGCGGAACACGAGAAAUUCCGUCGGAAUCCGGGAGGACCAUCUCCCAAGGCUAAAUACUCCCUAGUGACCGAUAGUGAACCAGUACCGUGAGGGAAAGGUGAAAAGCACCCCGGAAGGGGAGUGAAAUAGAACCUGAAACCGUGUGCCUACAACAAGUCAAAGCCCGUUAAUGGGUGAUGGCGUGCCUUUUGUAGAAUGAACCGGCGAGUUACGAUUGCAUGCGAGGUUAAGUUGAAGAGACGGAGCCGCAGCGAAAGCGAGUCUGAAUAGGGCGUUUGAGUAUGUAGUCGUAGACCCGAAACCAUGUGAUCUACCCAUGUCCAGGUUGAAGGUGCGGUAAAACGCACUGGAGGACCGAACCCACGUACGUUGAAAAGUGCGGGGAUGAGGUGUGGGUAGCGGAGAAAUUCCAAACGAACUUGGAGAUAGCUGGUUCUCUCCGAAAUAGCUUUAGGGCUAGCCUCGGAAUUGAGAAUGAUGGAGGUAGAGCACUGUUUGGACUAGGGGCCCAUCUCGGGUUACCGAAUUCAGAUAAACUCCGAAUGCCAUUCAUUCAUAUCCGGGAGUCAGACUGUGAGUGAUAAGAUCCAUAGUCGAAAGGGAAACAGCCCAGACCACCAGCUAAGGUCCCAAAAUAU